RNAcentral lists this ribosomal RNA (309 nucleotides) under uncultured fungus. RNAcentral's name for it is "SSU rRNA". It matches the Rfam family "Eukaryotic small subunit ribosomal RNA", at positions 39 to 352 of the family's 1831-position model. Lineage: Eukaryota; Fungi. The record is from RNAcentral.
AAAGAUUAAGCCAUGCAUGUCUAAGUAUAAGCAAUUAUACCGCGAAACUGCGAGUGGCUCAUUAUAUAAGUUAUCGUUUAUUUGAUAGUACCUUACUACUUGGAUAACCGUGGUAAUUCUAGAGCUAAUACAUGCUAAAAAUCCCGACUUCGGAAGGGAUGUAUUUAUUAGAUUAAAAACCAAUGCCCUUCGGGGCUCACUGGUGAUUCAUGAUAACUCCUCGAAUCGCAUGGCCUUGUGCCGGCGAUGGUUCAUUCAAAUUUCUUCCCUAUCAAUUUUCGAUGUUUGGGUAUUGGCCAAACAUGGUUG